GACAAUUUAAAUUACUCAUAGAAAGGAUCCGGAAACACGCAACCCUAAUGUUAUUUUAAAAAAAAAAAAUUAUACACAGAAAAAAAAUACAAAAUUUAACAUUUGAUAAUGUCUCUAUAUUUUUAAAACCCAAAAAGUUAUUUGUGUUAUUUAUCGUAUAUUAUUAUAUAGAGUAUUUAUAAAUUAUAUAUAUGACCCG
RNAcentral lists this long non-coding RNA (199 nucleotides) under Vigna radiata. RNAcentral's name for it is "long non-coding RNA (VRAD_LNC018252)". Lineage: Eukaryota; Viridiplantae; Streptophyta; Magnoliopsida; Fabales; Fabaceae. The record is from RNAcentral.